UACGUAGGGUGCGAGCGUUUGUCCGGAAUUACUGGGCGUAAAGGGUGCGUAGGUGGUGAGGUAAGUCGGAUGUGAAAUCUCCGAGCUCAACUCGGAAAUGGCAUUGGAAACUACCUUGCUUGAGGGUUGGAGGGGGGACUGGAAUACUUGGUGUAGCAGUGAAAUGCGUAGAUAUCAAGUGGAACACCAGUGGCGAAGGCGAGUCCCUGGACAACUCCUGACACUGAGGCACGAAAGCUAGGGGAGCAAACAGG
This 254-nucleotide ribosomal RNA is filed under the name uncultured bacterium. RNAcentral's name for it is "partial 16S ribosomal RNA". It matches the Rfam family "Bacterial small subunit ribosomal RNA", at positions 524 to 776 of the family's 1533-position model. The record is from RNAcentral.